This is a long non-coding RNA of Drosophila willistoni, 427 nucleotides long. RefSeq lists it as uncharacterized. The record is from RefSeq and is a predicted model, not a curated record. The transcript is spliced from 2 exons. Lineage: Eukaryota; Metazoa; Arthropoda; Insecta; Diptera; Drosophilidae.
UUUAAUUUUUUUGUUUCAAUAAUUUGUUCAUUUUUUUAUUUAUAGGAAUGGCUCCUCCGAUUCGGUACGAUUCGUAUUUGGCAGGUCCCUUCGUAGACGUUUAGUGGCCAGGGCUGCAGCAUGGUGGAGGGAGUCGCUGAGGGUGUUUUGGAACAGUUUAAUGUUAGAUCCUACAGGCAAAAGUCUUCGAUUGUCAGGAAGUAAGUUUGGGUGCUGGUCCAUCGUGAUGUCUACAAAAACAGGUAAGUGGUCAGUACUUAAUCUGUUGUGGUUUAUUCCAGAAUAAACUCCAAAGUCCAUGGCUGAGGGAUUUUUUCGCCGGUCGUGUGGGAAAUGAGUAGGACCACCCGUCGCCAGGAUGUCCAGUUUCUUGUCAGCCUGGAUCACUUCAAGGAGAGUUCUGCCGCGUUUACAUGACCUUGAAUUA